Molecule: ribosomal RNA, 265 nt
Filed under: uncultured archaeon
Lineage: Archaea
Description: partial 16S ribosomal RNA
Rfam family: Archaeal small subunit ribosomal RNA
Source: RNAcentral
AGUCACUGACAUUAGAUACCCGUGUAGUCCAGGGUGUAAACGCUGCCGACUUGGUGUUGGAGGCCCUUCGGGGGCAUUCAGUGCCGGAGAGAAGUUGUUAAGUCGGCCACUUGGGGAGUACGUCCGCAAGGAUGAAACUUAAAGGAAUUGGCGGGGGAGCACCGCAACGGGAGGAGCGUGCGGUUUAAUUGGAUUCAACACCGGAAAACUCACCAAGGGCGACUGUUACAUGAAGGCCGAGAUGAAGACUCUGCUAGAUUUUCAG